GAUGGACGCUGGCGGCGUGCCUAAUACAUGCAAGUCGAGCGAACGGACGAGAAGCUUGCUUCUCUGAUGUUAGCGGCGGACGGGUGAGUAACACGUGGAUAACCUACCUAUAAGACUGGGAUAACUUCGGGAAACCGUAGCUAAUACCGGAUAAUAUUUUGAACCGCAUGGUUCAAAAGUGAAAGACGGUCUUGCUGUCACUUAUAGAUGGAUCCGCGCUGCAUUAGCUAGUUGGUAAGGUAACGGCUUACCAAGGCAACGAUGCAUAGCCGACCUGAGAGCGUGAUCGGCCACACUGGAACUGAGACACGGUCCAGACUCCUACGGGAGGCAGCAGUAGGGAAUCUUCCGCAAUGGGCGAAAGCCUGACGGAGCAACGCCGCGUGAGUGAUGAAGGUCUUCGGAUCGUAAAACUCUGUUAUUAGGGAAGAACAUAUGUGUAAGUAACUGUGCACAUCUUGACGGUACCUAAUCAGAAAGCCACGGCUAACUACGUG
Molecule: ribosomal RNA, 497 nt
Filed under: uncultured bacterium
Lineage: Bacteria
Description: partial 16S ribosomal RNA
Rfam family: Bacterial small subunit ribosomal RNA
Source: RNAcentral